UACGUAGGGACCAAGCGUUGUUCGGAUUUACUGGGCGUAAAGGGCGCGUAGGCGGCAAUUCAAGUCAUCUGUGAAAUCUCCGGGCUUAACUCGGAACGGUCAGAUGAUACUGCUUUGCUAGAGUGCGGAAGGGGCAAUCGGAAUUCUUGGUGUAGCGGUGAAAUGCGUAGAUAUCGGGAGGAACACCAGUGGCGAAGGCGACUAUCUGGGCUGCAACUGACGCUGAGGCGCGAAGGCUAGGGUAGCAAACAGG
Molecule: ribosomal RNA, 253 nt
Filed under: uncultured bacterium
Lineage: Bacteria
Description: partial 16S ribosomal RNA
Rfam family: Bacterial small subunit ribosomal RNA
Source: RNAcentral